UACGUAGGUGGCAAGCGUUGUCCGGAUUUACUGGGCGUAAAGAGCGCGCAGGCGGUCGAUCAAGUCGAGUGUGAAAGCCCCCGGCUCAACUGGGGAGGGUCAUUCGAUACUGAUCGACUCGAAGGCAGGAGAGGGUAGUGGAAUUCCCGGUGUAGUGGUGAAAUGCGUAGAUAUCAGGAGGAACACCAGUGGCGAAGGCGACUACCUGGCCUGUUCUUGACGCUGAGGCGCGAAAGCUAGGGGAGCAAACGGG
Molecule: ribosomal RNA, 253 nt
Filed under: uncultured bacterium
Lineage: Bacteria
Description: partial 16S ribosomal RNA
Rfam family: Bacterial small subunit ribosomal RNA
Source: RNAcentral